GCUGGGCAUGGUGGUGUGUGCCUGUAAUCCCGGCUACUCGGAAGGCUGAGGUGGGAGGAUCACUUGAGCCCAGAGUUCAAGACCAGGCUGGGCAACAUAGUGAGACCCCAUCUCUU
Non-coding RNA from Pan troglodytes (chimpanzee), 116 nucleotides. It matches the Rfam family "Metazoan signal recognition particle RNA". From Rfam's summary of the family: The signal recognition particle (SRP) is a universally conserved ribonucleoprotein. It is involved in the co-translational targeting of proteins to membranes. The record is from Rfam. Lineage: Eukaryota; Metazoa; Chordata; Mammalia; Primates; Hominidae.